CAAUGGUGAGAAGUUCGAUUCGCUUCCCCGAAAAAUGUUGUCAUCUUUGCCAAAAAUAAUUUUCCUUCGCUAUUUGUGACGAAGGGGGUUGGUGUCGAGUGCUCGAGCGUGAAAGUUUACCUCCGGAUAAAAUCGGUACGGUGUUAGUACCCUGAAAUAAGGUGGCAAUGUGAUAUCUGAGCAGCGUGCUCUGUCAAGUGGUAAUAUUUUACACAUAAAACCAGUUGUUCCCGGGUAAGGCCUUGACAGGAGUCAGUACGGAACAACUUUCCUCGUCGCGCACCAUCUCCGUCGAUCUCAGUACCAUAACAUGGGCCUCGAACAGAUGCCAAUAAAACUGACUAUCAACUAGCUAAAGGUAUGGAACAGACCCAUGGAGUUUCGGAUGGAAAUAUAAACAUAAGUGAUGUCAUUGAAGUCAUUCAAACGGAUCCUGGGUUUGUGGACUGUCAAGGAGAAGAGCAGAGCACAUUUAUGAUGUACUCUGGAGGUGGUGUGGAGAAUGUGGGGAUGGGCUCGGCCGGUUCAGGAGGCAACCGUAGGCAGCCCUACGUAAAUAUCAUUGAACAACCAGCGAGCAAAGCGCUUCGUUUUCGAUAUGAAUGCGAAGGCAGAUCCGCUGGUAGUAUACCAGGGGUGAAUAGCACACCUGAAAACAAGACCUUUCCUAAAAUUCAAGUAGAAAAUCAUACGGGUCGUGCAAUCGUCGUAGUAUCCUGUGUUACUAAAGACCCGCCAUACAGGCCACAUCCGCAUAAUUUGGUUGGUAAAGAAUCAUGCGACAAAGGUAUUUGUACUCUGCAAAUUCCUCCUGAAAGUAUGACGGUGACAUUUUCUAAUCUUGGCAUUCAAUGUGUCAAAAAGAAGGACAUUGAGGAGGCGUUGAAAGUGAGGGAAGAGAUUCGUGUAGACCCCUUUCGGACGGGGUUUUCGCACAGAACUCAGCCUACUGGCAUUGAUUUGAAUGCAGUCAGGCUUUGUUUUCAAGUAUUUUUGGAAAGUACGAAAAAGGGAAAAUUUUCUGUCGCUCUACAGCCUGUCGUUUCAGAUCCCAUAUAUGACAAAAAGGCAAUGUCAGAUUUGGUGAUCUGUAAAUUGAGUGACUGCUGUUGCACAGUAGCAGGUGGCAAAGAAAUUAUUCUAUUAUGUGAAAAGGUUGCCAAAGAAGAUAUUAAAGUUAGGUUUUUCGAAGAGCGUGAUGGACAAGUACUUUGGGAAGGUUUUGCUGACUUCCAACCUAUGAACGUUCACAAACAGGUAGCGAUAACAUUCAGAACUCCGCGAUAUCGAACUCUCGAAGUGGAUCAUCCUGUGAAAGUCUUCAUCCAACUGCUCAGGCCUACAGACGGUGCGACGAGUGAACCACUUGCAUUUGAAUUCCUCCCUCUGGAUUCAGGUAGGCCUGCAUUCUGGUUAUUGCGCAAGGCCUUUGCGAAGAAGAAGGCCGAUUACAAUACUUUUGACAAAAUUUUAGCCACCGAGGCUGCACUGCUUUCAAACGCUAGCCCUAAAAUAUCACGAACAAUCGAUGAGUUCAACAACAAUAAUCUUGAGUUUGAAAAAUCGCACGAUAAACUUGCCGCUCUGCGAGCUCUAAACGAUCUUUACAAAGUCAAAAGUAAUCAGGAGUCGCGUAAUAAAGCCGACUCCCUUAAUUACGAUGAAAAAUCGGGUUGCCACUCCGUGACCAACUGUAUUACCGAUAGUAAUAAUGUAACUGAAACAAAAUUUGCUACAGAUACUGUACACAAUAAUAAUUGUAGUAACUCUGUACUGAAUGGUGAGCGUGUAGUUAAAAAUAACGAGCUAGAUUUUGGCCAACUGAACAGAUGUGACGAAAUAGGGUUCGAAGCUUUGCAAAAAAACUCCGUAACUGGCAAAAAUGCUGAAGUAUCGGAUGUAGCUAGUCUCUCCAAAGAUGGCAAGUCCGACUGGUUCGAUUACACAGAGGUUGGUAAGUGGGUGGACAAAACUCGAGAAGAAAAAUUGAAUGAGAAUGUUAACGAUAAUGUAGGGAAUGGAGAGGAAGGUAGUGAGUCCUUGAACGAGCUGCUUCUCUCUGCAGUGGCCGAAAGUGAUCAAAUCUAUGCUGACAAUCAGGUGAAGUUGUUGAACGAUGCCCUUGAACAAAACCUUGGGGAUCAGCCAAUGGAUGUAGAUGUUUACGAUAAUCAAACCUAUACCAGUCUUCAAAUGGCAAUGAAAAAUCCGAUUCAGUUACUAAAUCCCCCGAGCGUUACCGUGGAUCGAAAAUAUGAAGAUGUUGCUUUACCUGCGCAAAGCCCUAUCAUAUCUAUAUCCCCGCCACCUCUCGCCCCAAAGAGAGAUGUGUCAAGAGACAUGGACGAGAGACUUCCUCCGCUCCCACCCAAAAGAAUUCGUAAAACUCCAUCGAUGCCUGUUUUACCUGUUGUCCCUACCUUGCCACGUCCCUCGUCAACCCAUACUCUCAAUGAAUCCAGCUCCAACCCUAAAGCACCUCAUAAAAAUUUACCCUCACCGCCUAGCACUCUGACAAAACAAUCCAAGCCUGGAUUGUUUUCAAAACUUUUUGCCAAAAAGGCUAAAAAAGAUAAGUCUGAAACCGUGACUACGGAAGCUACACCUGAAGCAGGCAGUCAAUCAAAUUUGAUCAUAGGCAGCAGCGCUUCCACUUUAUACAAAGACAGCCUCAACAAUUUAUCUUCAUCCAGUCUUCCACGACCAAGCAUGACUAGCGUAACUAGUGUCAAAUCACUUAGACUGGAUGGUGACGAGUCCCCGCCUUACGGCAUCGAGCUCACAGAAGCCGAACACUACGCUCUGUACACAACUAUGGCUCCUCAUGCCACUGCUUCUGAAUUUGAUGAAAUGUCGUUUUAUUACAGCCCUGUGGAGGGGGGAAAAAUACUGUCAGAAAAAAUUGAUUCCUAAAACAUCAUUUAGUACAUUGUCGUAAUUCGUUGAACAAUUGAGUUAGUUAUGCAUGGUCAAGAAGCAAUUACACUACCCAAUGUGUUUCCUGAUUGUUGAGCAUCUAAGAAAUAUUUAAUAACUUCGAUAUACACGCUCUUACAAAGUCAGAUUCGACGUCCAUUUUUAGAGCCCAUGGUGAGAAACAAAGCCAAUAAUCCUUCAAGAAUUGACAAACAUCAUUUAAUGUUUGGUGGAUCCUAACAAUGAUUAAUGGUUGCAUGGCAAAUUUUACUCAAAAAGUGUGUGAAUGCAGUGUAUUAUUUAUUGUCACAGUCCAAUAUGCACUGCAAUUGCAUAAUGUGCAAUCUAUUCUUAUUCCCAAGUCAUUUUCAGAUAUUACUAUUACAGAGCAGAUUAAACUGACUUUAUGUAUGAACGUUAAUAUAAGAUACGUCAUGUCAAAUAAGUUUUUCAAUUGCAUUUUUUGUAGAAACUUUGAUGAUUCUUUCCAUACUAAACAUACCUUUAAUGGUUCAUUGGUCGUAAAUCAAAUGUUUGUCAACAAUUAUUAUUGUUGCUAGGUGUUUUUACAAAAAAUCCCUUAAAUUAAAUUGUGCAAACUUUAAAAUAUGCAAAAAUCAAGCAAUAAUUAGAUUUUUGUCAGUAGUCAAAUCCUAACUUAUAUGGGUCGAUUUAUCCAUUUUUACAUCGGAAUUUGAGAGAAAUUUGAGUACCGGAAAAAUUUGGUGCUUCGCAAGUCGCUGCAAAAUGUGAUUAUUUUAAUAAUAUCUCGAUUAGUAUUAGAAAUAAUAUAUGCAUUCAUUGACUUUGCCACAUAAAUGAGAUUUCAGCUGGAUUAGAAAACGAUUAGUGUCUGAUCAACCGAAAUCAAUAACUAUCGACCGUUUUUAAAUAAACAGUUCUGUUAGUUUACGCUUUUUUUUUUUUAGUUCUUUGCCAGUAGAAUUCAUUUUCUAUUCUGCAAUGAUCUAGUCAAUAUAUGGUACUAUUAAUUAUUAGUCAACUGUCGUUGUGUUGGUAGAAAUAUAAUGGUUCAUCAGCACUUUCCUUUUAUAAUGCAAACGAAUUGUAAAAAUUCAUUCUCUGUUUUUACUGUUCAAAAUUGAUUAUUGAUCACCCCCUAAAAGCAAUGGAAACAUUUUAAGGAUUUCCUGCGAAUUAUGUAUAAGUAUACAUACUGACUUCAUUUAAUAUCUAGUACAUACAGGAAAUAGCGAUUUAUUACUGUUGACAAACAGUAUGCAGCAACUGCAAUGUUUAAGUUUAGGUUUAGAUUUUUCAAACGAAUUGAAUAUUGCUCCGCCUUCGGUUUCCUUGGUGCUAUUUUUGCGUAAAAUAAUAAAUAAAUUUAUAAUAUUCUGACAAAGCAGGUGUACAAAAAUGUUUGGAUUUAUUCUGUCGGUAUAAAGCAGAUCGUUAUUUGUACAACAAGAAUGUAAGCAAAAUAUUUGAACUGGGUGAGGAUAUUUUGGGAUAAAUUCCUUUGUUACCAUGAGAAAUAUUUAACUGUCAAAUAUAUAUUGUUUUCUAUUAAUUCGCAGAGCGGAGAAACGUUAUAUUUGGUUGCUAUCAGCAAAUAAAAUUUAAGUUAUAGUUUAUCUAAAAUUAUUUGUGCUAGCGCUGCAAACAAUUUUAAACCACAUUAUGGUUGUUUCAUAUUAACAUCCUAAUCUUGUUCUCUAUUCAAAUGACUUGUAGCACAGAAUGAGAAGCAGUAUUAUUGAUAAAAAGAGAAAGAGAAAAAACCAAGAUGGAAAAACGUUUCAAAGUAAAAAUUAUUUUAGACAUCUUCGAUGCCCUACAUCAGGCGAAAAGCGAUAUUUUUAAAAGUCUAUUUGGAACAGAACAGGGUGCAAGGUGCUAGGUACUGAGUAUUGUUGUAGGCCCCCAAAAACUGGAAAUAAGCAACGUUACCUUUAAACUUUGAACUGUGUGGCCUUCUUUUAUACCGAAUAUUAUUAUUAAUAUAUCAUGUGGCGUGCAAUAUUAAGUAAUACAUGACACUUCUGCGAGGCGGUAACAGCUUUCAUAUUGAAGAAUAAUAUUGAUUUGUUGGGCGAUUUUUGAUGCUUUUAAUGCGAAUCGAAGUGUCUUUUACACCUCAGAAUAGUGUUUUCUAACGUGUGAAUCAUUUGUAGAUACCACAUUGAAACGAAAAAGAAAAUAUACUAACGAAUCCAACGUCAAUCUGUUGAGGCAUUUUCAGGCAGAAGCCGAAAGACAUGGUGCCGUACAGUACCAGGCUGUAGGCUGUGGUUUGAAUAAAAUAAAAAUUGAACCAGCCGAU
RNAcentral lists this unclassified non-coding RNA (5203 nucleotides) under Neodiprion lecontei (redheaded pine sawfly). Its description in RNAcentral is "embryonic polarity protein dorsal, transcript variant X1". The record is from RNAcentral. Lineage: Eukaryota; Metazoa; Arthropoda; Insecta; Hymenoptera; Diprionidae.